Molecule: non-coding RNA, 84 nt
Filed under: Woeseia oceani
Lineage: Bacteria; Pseudomonadati; Pseudomonadota; Gammaproteobacteria; Woeseiales; Woeseiaceae
Description: c-di-GMP sequence
Rfam family: c-di-GMP-I riboswitch aptamer
About the family: GEMM was predicted in a large-scale screen for bacterial structured RNA regulatory elements. Genes associated with GEMM are involved in a diverse array of functions, including chemotaxis regulation, signal transduction, secretion and chitin.
Source: Rfam by way of RNAcentral
UACUGUAAAUGGCAAACCUGUCGAAAGACAGGGACGCAAAGCUUCCGGUCUACGGGUUUUACCUAUGACAGCGGGGUUGCCAGA